GGUUGUGGCUCAAUGGUAGAGCACUUGCCUAGCAUGUGUGAGGCACUGGGUUCAAUUCUCAGCACCG
RNAcentral lists this transfer RNA (67 nucleotides) under Marmota monax (woodchuck). Its description in RNAcentral is "tRNA.Ala". It matches the Rfam family "tRNA", at positions 6 to 65 of the family's 71-position model. From Rfam's summary of the family: Transfer RNA (tRNA) molecules are approximately 80 nucleotides in length. Their secondary structure includes four short double-helical elements and three loops (D, anti-codon, and T loops). Further hydrogen bonds mediate the characteristic L-shaped molecular structure. tRNAs have two regions of fundamental functional importance: the anti-codon, which is responsible for specific mRNA codon recognition, and the 3' end, to which the tRNAs corresponding amino acid is attached (by aminoacyl-tRNA synthetases). tRNAs cope with the degeneracy of the genetic code in two manners: having more than one tRNA (with a specific anti-codon) for a particular amino acid; and 'wobble' base-pairing, i.e. permitting non-standard base-pairing at the 3rd anti-codon position. The record is from RNAcentral. Lineage: Eukaryota; Metazoa; Chordata; Mammalia; Rodentia; Sciuridae.